CAUAUGGUGAAACAACCUGGAAUACCCUCAGAGGUCAGAACUCAAUAGUUCAAACAAUUCAUCAAAGGUAAUGCUAUUGAAUUUCAUUGAAACCUAUCCAGAUCCACUCUACUACCAGUGCCAUCAAUAGUCACAAGACCUCGAAUAAUAAUAAUAAUAAUAAUAAUAGCAACAAUAACAAGGAAGAAGAAGAAGAAGAAGAAGAAGAAGAAGAAGAUUAAUGAUGGCAAGUAGUAGAAAGGAUGGAGGCCAACAACAAAACCAUAGCAACCUCUCCACACAUAAAGCAUCCAUCAUCGGGCAGAGCAGGUUGAUGAGCAAACUAAUAUCAAAGACUUCUCAGGGCAAGUGAUCUCAAGACCAAACUUAAACAAGUAAAAGAUAUCUCUAAGACUGCAUGCUCAUAGAAGGAAAACAAAAUUGAAAAAUACAUGCACACAUUCAUUUAUAGUUUGGCACUGCACAAGGCAUUUAUUAAUAACAGAUGUCAAAAUAUAAACACCAUGCAUUGUGCACUUUGAACUAAGUUGAUCUCUUUUGGCUGAAGACAUUUGACUUCGAAAACGCUAAAAGUGCAAUUAAAAACAGCCCUCAGAUCUCAUAGCUAUGUAAAGAUCAUGUACAGUUCACCAUAAAGGCAUUCAUCAAUAGCUUUUCACACACCACCUGACCACCAAAGAAAUAUAUAUAUACAUAUAUACAUAUAUACACACAAAAACAUGUGUACAUAGAGAGAGAGAGAGAGAGAGAGAGAGAGAGAGAGAGAGAGAGAGUGAAAGGAGGUGGUGUGCAAAAGCCAAAGAUGAAUCGAAAACCAGACCCAUUCAAUAAAAAUGAGUUUUCCAUCAUAGGGCAAAAGUCAGUGACGGAUCUCAUGAAACCCAGGACUCAAAUGUCUAAAACCCUACAUAACAUUGUAGAAAGAAAGAACUAUGAUCUACAUACAUUGAGAAAGCAAAAAGCACAAUGGUCACAAAGGAUCUAAUCAAGUUUCAAAUAUCAACCCUAAAGGGUCAACAACUUAAAAGGAGGAUGUAAUUCAAAGAAAACAAAAAAACCACAGAUUUCAUCAGUAUCAUAACUCAACAAUAGUGAAGCUCGUGAUUCUCAUAAAAUCGAAUCUACAUCUUCAGAGAUAAAAGGAAAAAAACAACAGCAAACAAAAAAACUGCACCAUCUAACAACUUCUCAUCAUUGGGCACAUGCCAAAGCCUUUGAAAUUCAUUAAGCAUAUUUUAAACAGAUGGUAUUACAAGCAAUUAAAGAUUGACUACCUAGGUUCAAUAGAACCAAAGUGAAUCACUAAGGAUUAGCAGAUAACAUUUUUUCUUCUUUAAGUAUUACCAGAUAAUGAACAUGGAAAGUAUAAGUGAGAUUAAACAAGAAAUGGUUGAGAAGGAUUUCUAAGAUAAUUAAAUGUUUAAUGGUUUCAAAGCAGAAACUCAAGAUGAGGAAGAUACUAUAAUUGAUGAAAAGGAUAUAUGAAGUGCAUCAAAAAGGACAUGAUCAACAUUUAAUUAUAAACUGUCUUCAAGCAAAUAUAUUAAGCAUUUAAAAAAGACAAAGCUGUAUCACAGUUUAGCAUAAUUUUUAGAGGCUUCAAUGAUUUCAUCAGGCAACAAAAUACCAUGCAUUGUCAAUAUUGUAAUUGCAAAUAAGAUGUAUUCAGUGAGAUAGAAAUGAAGCUAAAAACUCAUACAAACCAUCCCAAUGAGACCAUACUACUAAUCAAUAGCAACAAAUUUCCAUACCGUAGUCACUAAAGGACAAAAUCAACAGCCAAAAGAAUUCCCAUUGUAGACAACUGCUAAUUACUUAUGCAUUCUGUUAAGGGUAGCCAAGAGUAUGAUCAAGAUGCAAGUUAUAAGCAAAGAAACACAAAUAGCAUGAUAAAGUCUGAGACUAAAAAUGAUCAACAAAGCCCUCAGAUCUCAUCGCUAUAUUUGGUCAUUCACAUUAUUAACAGAUUCUCAUUAAGAGAAUUUAUGAAUCAUCAGCCGUGCCAAUAAGAAGACAGAUAGAAUUACUGAUAGAAAAAGUGAGUCAGUUAAUGCUUUCUAGGCUGCAUGUACAUCAGGAUUGCAAACUUUUUUUUUUCAAAAAAACAAGAUAGAAAAAAAAAAACUGCUCAACACCCAGUUUGUGCAUCAUCAUUCUUCCUGAAACUAGCAUUAACUAAAACAAUGAUUUAGCAGUCAAAAUAUAAAAGAGUACUGAACAUUUAGUUCCAUUUGGCAGGGUUGAUAACCUAAAAUAAAAAAACUGGUAUUUUAUAAAAGUUAAUAAAAAAAAAAAAGAGAAGCCCUCAGAUCUCAUAGCUUUUGAACAAAUCAUCGUGCUAAUGGCAGUUCAUCCAAAGCCUUUACACACCACCAUUUGUAUAAAUGUGUGUAUGUAUGUAUAUAUAUAUUUAUGAAGUGGAAGGAGGUAGUGAUGAUGGUGACAGUGGUGGAAGUGGUAGAGUUGGUCGUGGCGGCGGUGGUGAGUAAAAGCUCAAGGAGAACAAAAGCCAAAGCAACCGCUCAAUGGUCUUAGUUUCUACAUCAUCAGGCCAAUUAUCAUGAGUAUAUCAAAACAGUUGGAAAUGAAAGUGAAAAAUAAAAGGGAAAAAAAAAACAUACAAGUGAGUAGUGAGCGAUUUUUUUUUUCUCGAGAAAUAUAGUGAGG
RNAcentral lists this long non-coding RNA (2667 nucleotides) under Durio zibethinus. Its description in RNAcentral is "long non-coding RNA (DZIB_LNC000884)". The record is from RNAcentral. Lineage: Eukaryota; Viridiplantae; Streptophyta; Magnoliopsida; Malvales; Malvaceae.